AAAAUCCUAGCCUUCUUUGGACUAUUUACCCAGAGGUUAUACUUAAAGGUUGAAGAAUUUUAGAGCUUGAAGGAGAAAAGCCCUCGCUCUUUGCUUUUGAAAGAAACAGCUUUUUUAACACUCCUGUAAAUAAAAAGUAGAAAUGAAACGUUUUGAGAUAUAGAGAGACUUAACAGCUGUAAAGCAUUGUUGAUAUAAUGCUGUUAUCAUUUUAAACCAGCAAAAACCUGUUGGUGAGUGGUGAUUUAGGCUUUGAUUUGUAUCACCUGUGCUACACAGGUGAUGCAUCCAAACAGGGGGAACACCUGUGAGUUGCUUGCAUGCCAUGUGGAGGCUUUAUUCCCUUAGAUGAGGACGUGUAUCAGUAAGUGCAUGUCUGCUCAGUGUGAGUUUUCUUCUUUUUCUUCAAAGAAGCAUAAUAGUUGUUGAUUUAUAGCUAGUUAUUUUAAUUUCCCUACUCUGCAAAACUAAAAGAGAAGCUGACCUCUGAUGAGCGGCUACCAGUGGUUUCCUCUGCUACGUAGUGGAGAUUUGCAACCGGCUGUUGAAGGGAAGGAAGAGGUGAGGUGCAUGAAUUAAUUAUUUAAGGCACCUGAUUGAGGAAGAAAGUACUGUCUAAUCAAAACAAGAUCAAGAACAAAGAUCCAAGAAGUAUGAGAAAGAAAGAAGAAGGAAUUCAGUCCUCAAUAAUGAGGAAAGAUGAUUCAUGCCAUGUAGUGACACAAGGGCACAAGUGCUGCACUUCAGUCGCUCCACUGAAUUCUAUGGGAUUUUCUGUCUGCUGGAUCACUGUUUUGUUUUUAGGGCAUGUAAAAAUUACUUUGACAUUGGCUUUUGCCAGCAGAGGAGUCCGUUAAAUACAAUCAAUCUCUUAGCUCAUGUCAGGAAGACAGCGAUAGAGAAGAUGACUCUUACUAAAGCUUCAGGUAGAUGCUGUGCAUCAGACUGGUGAGCAAGAUUAAAUCUCUGAAGGCUCUGGCUGUCUCAAUCUCCAUUGAAGUUGCUGGGAUCUGAAGACACAACUUUCUUAUUACGGUGCUGUUUGCUAUAAGUGUUAAUAUGGUCAAAGGAAGACUACCCACCAAAGACUGUAAGGAACAGUAGCAAAACCUUUUUAUUUUUUACAAACGCUAAUGCUACUUGGGGACCAUUUCAUUCCCCAAGUGUACAUCUGUGUGAGCAAAGGAUUCCCAGAAACAAGCAAGAAGAAUAUUGAGACCAUUGCUCAAUAACCACAGCUUUUAUUUGGCAAUAGUUAUUGAGACCUGCAAGGGUUUUCCUGGGCUCAAAACUUGUCUGUUUCUUGUAGCAAUGUUUUCUUUUGGGUCAUAUGGAUUAUUUCAUGUUAUUAGAGCUGAAUACUAGUUGUCUACCAUUUCAGAUUUGCUAGCUUUUUAUCUUGUAGCAAUGUAUUUGUAUGCUGUAAUCUAUAGCAAAAUGCCAUUGUAAUUUUAAUGUCAGGUGUACCCACUGUGAGUCUCAGGUUUGUAUCGCUAUCCAGGGAAUGUGUCUGAGCUCUUUCCUUUUUAAGCCUAGUUGAAGCAGUGCAUCCAGAUGCAUUACUUUCAAAUCUUAUUCUCAAAUGUUUUAGUGGAAAUGAUGUGUGAUCAUUUUAAUCUGGCCUUUAUGUGUUUGACCGGAACUCAGCCUACAUAUUGCCGUGAGACAAGGGAAAUUGGAUGCUUUUACUUUUACAGCCAAAGUAUUCAUAUCCUUCCAGAAAAAAAGAACUAAUCUUCUGAAGCAGCAGGUAAGUAAAAGAUUUGUGGAGAAAUGGGAAAGGACAUUUAAUAUAUUUAAUCUUAUUAUACAUUUUUCUACAUUAAAAGUCAACAGGCUGCAAAUAUAUUUUGCUACAAAGCUUUUUGUAGGAAAUAUCUCUAUAAGAAAAUACAUCUCAUUAAACAUUUCCUGUAAAUAAAUUAUCCCACAUAACUAUGUUUUGUAAGAGGAGAAGGGAGAGGGUUAGGCUAGUGAUAAGAAGAGCCAAAAAUUGCUGAGCCCAUUUCUGCAACCCCACUGCUCCAUUUGGGUUACAUUUUCUUGUACACAUAGUUGAAAUGAAGGCAACAGAGCUCCUCUGUUGAGCAUGUGCUGUCAGUGUAAAUAACACAGACAGUGUUAUUUAAAAGUACAGUUCCUGUACUUUUUUAAUAUCUUGAAAUUAUGCUAUUUCUGAACCUUAUUCCUGUUUUAGGUACACAAGAACUCCUUUGAAAUAACCAAAGUGGAGCUGGUAGGACUGAGUUUGAAGUCUGACUCAGACUGUUAAAAAACAGAAGAGCCCACCCCAGAGCAGCUCCUUAUGGCAAUUAAAAAAUAACUCCAGUAAGCAGGCACAGCCAUUGUGGAAAGCCACUGUAGCCCUUAUACUGGCCCCUGAAACAUCAUGGGACAACACAGCAAGGUUUCAAGAUACUCAGGCCUCUCAUCCAUAGACAAGAGUUUAAAAUUCUACAAUGAAGAGAAACAGAGCCAGAAGACUCCUCUCAGCCAUGGAAAACACACUCUGCAACAGAUGGAAAGAGAAUAGAGGAAAUUAAAUUACUUUGCUCUGCCAAGCCUACAUAAGAAGUCCACAUUACAGAGAUGCACCAAAUACAAGUGACUCUGCACCUUUGACAACACAAGUACAAACGAGGGCAACCACACUGACCAGUCAAAUGAAGAAGAGGGAAGAGGGGGGAGAAAGAGGAAGAUGAUUUAAUAGAUGGAGCCCUGUACUUCCCUGGCAUGAGAGCAGUUUCCUUUGAAACGACAGCAAUGCAGUGGACAUUCAACUUCUCAGAAAGCUGUAAGGUUGCUGUAACAACAGGUGUGAUAAAUACAAUUUGCACUAUUAAAAUAUUCUAUUAAUCCAUCACUGAAAUACACAAUUACUCACUAUGUUUAAUGGAGAAAAAUCUGCCUCCUCAACCUGCACAUUUUCAUCAGCUUAGAAAAAACUUCACGAAAAUGCAGGUGGUAGCAUUGACUGCUUCUGCUAUCAGCUCAGGAGGAAGGGACUCUGCCGUCAAGCAUGAGUUUGCUGAUUCUAUCUGUUGGAAACCCUGUCUUCAGACAUAGCAGAAGGACUGAGAGAUCUGAGCAGAAAAAAGAUGAUGAAUUCUGAAGGCAAAUGUAAGUAAAUUCACUGAGUUCAAAGGAUUUAUCACAGAGGCUCCCCACAAAAUUACAAGAUGUAUUUAUGAAGUUUCUAUAAACUAUGAAGAUACUCAGCCCUACACAUAAUGAUAAUUUAAGAGGAAAGUAUUUGCUCACAAGCAAAAAAACACUUCAGGAAGUAACAAAGGAAAGACAUUCCCAACCGCAAACCUUCAAUCUGAGUGAUGAAUGGCAUGAAAAUCAGAACCCUCUUUGAAAGUAUUUACUUCCCUCCGCUGACCAAAUGGUAGCAAAAUUGUUUGAAAAGUUUACCCUCACUUGUGUGUGCUACAUACUUUGUAAAUCUGUCCUGAGCCUCUUUGUCUAUUUCUCCGUUUUUUUUCCAUUUCCUUUUCAUUACAGUCAUGUUUUCCAUUCACUACAGUGAUCUCUCUGGAAUAUUUAAUGUGUAGUCCAGAAGUCUCCCUGAAUGAAAAACCCACUCUGAAGUCCAUGGGAUUAUUCACACUGAUUUCAAUGGGCACUGUCCUGGACCCUCAAGCUCAGCACAGUAUUUGCCCAACUAAUAUCUAUGUAUGCACAUCGUAACUGAAGUAAACGAGGCAACAAGAAUGCUUAUAUUGAACCAUAUAUGCUGAAGCUACUUGAUUAACUGGGUAACAAGCUGCAUUAUUUAUGACACUGAUAAGGUAUGAAUUGAUGAUAGUGAUUUAUGCUAUUGAUAAUAAAUUCCUGAUAAUUUGCCACUGUGUUUAGUACCUACCAGUGCAAUUUCCCUUCUCUGCAUUUGUCUCAUUCCUGUUUGAGCAGUUCCAUAUGGCUCCCACAGCAUCAUGGGGCAAUGAGCUGUACCAUGUGAAAUAGUAGUUCAGGCUGCCUGAUAAUUGCACACUGUCUGCUCUUGGUUCUUUUAGGAAAAGAAUGAGAGAUUGCUCCCCAUUCACCUUUUCUAUACCAUUCCUCUUCUCCCAUGGGAAUCUCUUUCCCAAACUGUGUGAUGCGUUCCAUUUGAUUUCUUCUGUGUCAAAGCAGUUCUGCUCUGAUCACUCCCACAUCUUCCCUCCCCCUUCCAAUUCUGCCUACUUUAUAGCCUAUUUAGAAAAAUGCACACAGUUACUCAAGAUGAGCAAUACAUUUAACUUAAAAAUAGUAUAAAAUGACCUUUUUUGUUCUCAGUUCCUGAUACUCUGCUUGGAUUUUUUUUUUUUUUUUUUUGUCUUUUUCUGUCUCCCUUUGCUGCUGCUUUGUGAUAGCUACAGUGACUCUAAUUUAGAAGUUAUCACUACAUGUGCCUAGCUAUUGUCACAUUAUUCAUACAUAAUGCUGUAUACCUACAGAAAGGGAAUUUUACCCAUGGUUUUAUUUUCCAGAUGCUCAGCAUACUGGAUUUUACUGCAAGUCUUUGUGGUCCAUUUCAGUUCUUAUUGUUCUGGAUACAUUUCAUUAAAAACUUAUGUGCCUCACUAAUUCCAUUUUCCAGAUAAAUUUCCAAUAUGUUGAACAGCAUCAGCCUCCAAUGAUUUGUAUGAAACUUCACUUACAUCCUCCCUGCCUCCCUGCGUUGCAAAAACUGGCCAUUUAGACCUGCUUGUUUUUUCCUGUCCCCUUACGGCUUAUUAGGUAUUCUAAUGUGUUGUGAAAGGGGUUAUCCCUUGACAAUUCAGUUUCUUUAAAGCUUUUAUACUUGAGCUGGAGCUCUGUUCACAUAUGUAUUAGAAGAGCAGUGGCAAACUGCUUGCCAGAAACAGCAUCAAUUGAGUUUGAUCUGUCAUUAGCCUGGUAAGAGAGCUCUUUUGAAACAUUAACCUUCAUGUUAUCUUUACAAAUAUGAUUAAGGCUGAGUAUUAAGAGAGCAUUUUGGGAGGCAGACGGGAAGGAAGAAGAGAGCCUCAGCCUCACACGUUAGCAGGACAGCAGAGCAUUUGAGGUUUCUUCUUCUGGAAAAUAGUCAGGUGAAACAUACUGUGAAAAUCAACUUUAGAAGAAGCAAAUGUUCACAAAAUGUCUUCUUGCAGCUACAGUUUGCGUUAAUUUCCUGUCAGUGUGGUCAUUCUGGAUAGGAGGGAAUCAAAAGUAAAAGCACUGCAAAACUUUUCUAAGCUUUCCCAGCCUACAAGCACAAAGACUUCCAGUGAAAUCAACAGUCCCAGGAGCAGCUGAGCUCCCUGUCCUGCGGUAACACAGACAUGCAUUGUGUUGUAUGGCCAACAGUGCAGCGAGUCGCCCUCAGGGCUGGUCCUGUAUGUUUGUGCCACUUCAGCAGCAUGGAUCGUCCCCAGGGAAAUUCAGCCCACCACCAUCUUCAGCUCUCAUACAAGCUUGUCUUCCCUUCAGUUAAGGGGUAAAGACGCAAAUUUAAGUGCUGCAUCUCAAAAGACUUGCAUGUCAGGGAAAAAAUAAAUAAAAUUCAGAAGCAAAACAAUACACAGAAAUUGAGACCAAGUACUGACCAGUAGAGAAUACAAUACAGCCAGAAAUACAACCAGAAGGAGCACUGGAGGUUGAACCAGGGAAAGAGAGGAAAUCAAAUCCAGAAACCAAGUGUCAGUGUCAGUUGCGCAAUCUGUUUUCACAGAAUCAUCUAAAUCUGAAUUAGUGAAUUCCACUUCAGCUUUUGCUUCUACCCACCACUACAUGCACAGUAUCUGGGAAAUGAGCGAGGCACGUCUCUGGAGAACAGCAUGAGUCCGGUGCCUCCACAGGGCCGAAGUCAAUACGUUCCUGUGUCAGAUGCAUGCACCAGGGUAGCCAUCCCAGCUGCACAACACAUGAUGUGUUGACUGCUUUACAUAGGGUGGGUCAGGAAGAGGCUCAUUAAGGAGAAACUCUACAGCUCUGCUUGCAACAUCUUUGCAUCCUCAACUAGUUUUACACCAAAGCCAAAUUACAUUGCUUUCAAAAAAGGGGUUAUUCCGCACGGAGACAGAAAUCCCUACAGAAUGGUCACAUUUACCAUGUCUAGUACAUUAGAUACACAUAUGCCACUGAUCCUUCAUAUCAUUAUUUCAUUGUUGAGGGAAAAACAUACAUUUAACUUUUUAUGUAGUAAUAUAUACAACAAAGCAUUCCAAUGACCAAAUUCUGAUUAUCCUACAUAGGUGAUGACAGACAGAGCUUCUCCCCAAGUACACUUUGCAGCAAGGGAGUCUCAGCCUAACCACUUCCUCUGAGCUGAAUUUCUCUCCUGUCUGGAAAGGCCAUGACCCCACUCCCUAAAGGCAUAUACAACCUAAUUCCCUCGAAAACAGUCAGUGGAAUUAGGUACACAAAUCCCCUUGAAAUUCAUCCUAUUUGUAAACUAAGAGCUAAUGUCUGAGAUGGCUUUCCACAGAAGUAUGGCUCACCCCUUGGCUAAGACGGGCAAUGACAGCACAUUUUACAAAGACCGGAGAAUUUGUGUGGCAUUUCUGGGCAAUGUGAACUUGUUCCUGUGGUCACAUUUUUUUGGCACAUCUGCUGGGAAGCAGUGCUGGAGGGAAGCAAGUUACAUCACUGCUUUGAUUACUGAACAUUCCCCACUGUGGAACUUCCCCACAGUGGACCUGAAAGCUAUUCCUGAAUAAUUGAAGGUACCAUCACGUAGCUGUUACAGAUGAUAAACAGUUUGGUUUUGCUUUCCCUAUCCCUGACCCUUCCAUUCUGACCUUUCAGCUGUAAAACAGGCCACAGCAUUACAUGUGAGAAACUACGUCAAUCCCAGCAAGGUCAAUGACAAUUGCACUCCAGACCUGGAACUCCUACAUCACUCUCGUAUCUGCUUGUACAAUGAAUACACUGGCUUCUAUUUAUCCCAAACUUUUAAACCAAAGCUAAAAUUGUAUUAUCCUACUCUUGAUCUGGUUCUAUCAGAGGAAGAUUUUGUGGGUAACUCAUUGAGAUAAGCACCUGAAAGUAGAUACCCCCUCCAGUGUUGAAUAGUACUUUGGCUAGUCUGUCCUAUCUGUGAUACAUGCCUGUCAUGAAAAAUGAAAGAUUUUUGGAGUGCUAAUCCCUGUUCCAUGACAAUCUGCAGUCUAUUUGCUAUUCCUUUUUGGCUUUAUUUUUAACAGGGCCUUAAAACAUAUUUUUCCUUAAAAUGACAACAUUCUUUUCUGCCCUCUUUGUUCGUGGGGCUUUGUGUGCUCAUAAACAGUUUAAGAGUUCCUUCACACCUGUGAUGCACAUGUGUGCCUGUAAUAAGGGCUCUCUUAUCUAUCCUGCACUGAUAAACUUAACAGCACAGUGUUUAAGAAAAAGCACUGUCCUUGUGACCGCAAUAAACAGAACUAAACCCAAGCCCCAAACCUACAGCAGCGACGUUAAGGUCUGAGAUAGGAGAGAACUUGACCCAUGAAGCUCAUUAAAAAAUCUGCUCUCUCAGGUACUAGGGGUGUCUCUAGUUUUGCACUCUGGGAUUUAAACUCUCUGUAACCUGAGUUCGUUGAAGUGCACUGGUAAUAGAAAUCCCCACUUGUAUUUCAAAUGAACAUCUGUCUAUCAAGUGUCGCCAUGCAUUAAUGUCUUUAAAGAUUCUACAAAUAUUUUUUAAUGACGCCAUCCAAAGUUCGGAUGGCUUUAUUAAAUCUAAGCACUGGGCCAGAUACAUGCUCCUCACUUUGGCAAAAUCAGGACAGAAAGUUAGGAAAAUCUAAUGAUGAAAAUUUGACUUUCAAACUCAUUCUUCCAAGCAGCCUAUCCUUUCUUCAGCACUCCAGCCAGUCAAUCCUCCUACACUUUGAAUGACAUCCGAAGAUAAAAAAAAGUCUUACGCAUUCACUAACCACAAUAGCGUUGCCUUUCAGCUUAUGAUCUGCCUACCACCACUGUUUAGUCAAUGCUUACAGCAAGAUGCAUACAGACAAACAAGUAGGUUAAUAAAGCUGAACAUUCCUGCAUAUGAGACCUUUAUAAAAUUUUGCACCACUUAGCAUAUUUUACGUGUUUAUAUCAUACAAAAAAUUAAAACCUCCUAUUUCUCACAUAUUCUAGUCACUUCUCUAGAGAAAUAAAGGGACAGAGUCUUUCUUAUUUCUUCUCCUGGCUGCAGUGUGGGAGCAGAGAGGCUGUGGGGAAGGCGAGCAGACCUGCAGCUUCUGACCAGGCAGCAAAUCCUGCUCAAAGAUGCAAGAAGACAGCUUGCAUCAUCCCAAGGUUUUGCUGCAUCCUUUCUUGAAUCCCUGGACUCCGUGUUCCUUACUUGGAAAACUCUGCCAAAAAUGUCAGUGAACAUGACCUGAACUGUGCUAAAGCCAUGCUGCUGCUCAAAAACAUCUCGCUCAGAAAAUGCCCCCUGGAAACUCAUUUACAUAGUGGGGAGUGGAUCGGUACGCAUGAAGACAUCCAAGCCACAACUUCUCUUUUCAGCUGCCUUGUACUGGCUAAGCACUACUCCUGCUGUCCAAGCUGAGGUCUCAAAGGGAAGAAAUCCCCAAGUUGGCCUAACCACAGGACGUUUUGGGAUCUGCAAGACUGUCUCAGUCUAUUUUAACUUAAGCACUGGUACAAAUUCUAAGAGAAAUUUAUCUUCACAGAGAAAAACUUAAUCUUCUGGUUAGAUAACACCACACACUACAAUUUGAUACUUAAUAAAUACUUGUGAAGCUAUAAUACAAGUAUUCACUUGGUCACUUAUCCUUUUAGCAGUAAAAAACAACUGAGAUUGAAGUUCAAUUGCAAUGUGUUGCAGAUGCUGUGGCAAAGACCCCCUCGGAAAGCAAUUUCCAAAGGAUUCUUCUUGUUAAAAAACCAUUUCCUCAGUGAGGAAUGGGUGUCUGGAAGAUAGCAAUGGGGACAAAACUAAGCACAGAAGUUUACAAGCAUUCCUGAAGAGCAUUUAAAAAACCCUGUAUUUAUUCAAACAAUUGCAAAAACAUUUUAAGCAGUAAAGCAGUAUAGCCUCUCCACCAAAAUACAGACUUGUCGGCCUACCUUUGGAUGAAUGUUUUUCCUCAUUGUCACUAAAAAGACAUGAGGCAGCACCAGCAUUUGCCUCCACCCAGGAGAAGGUAUAGAAGAUGGAUGGCAACCUCCUGUUUCCCCCAGUCCUCCUACAGCUUCCAGCAUUUCCAUUCUUAAGCACUGACCCACAAGAGUUUCCCACCCCAAGAUCUGGUUAAACUACUUUACUAUGAGUAAUAUAUAUUGCAAAUUCAGUUUUGAUGGGAGUAACAGGACCUGAGAGGGUCUGGAAGAACAACUUCAGCCUCACUGAGUAACCUGCAGUGUUCAGCUCACACAACACAGAGCGUGGUUGGUCUGGUGGGUCAGAUGGCAUCAUUAUUGCUACCUGAAAGGGUGAAAAACUCACAUUUCAGAAUUACAAGUUUGAUAAAAUUUUCAGACUAUGCUAAAAGUGUGAAACACCUGAUGUCCUCUCGUGUACUUGACAUCUCCCAUCAUCGCAGGCUGUUGAUGUGAUGAUCCCUCCACAAAAAGAACAAUAAUGAUGCCAUGCUAUUUAUCUCUAGAAUCACUGCCAAAUUUACCAUCAGGAAACGUACCAGCUGUGCCACAUUUGCUACUCUGUCAAAUGGUCACCCUGUACACUGGUGGAUGACAGCCAGCUUUUUUUUCCCUCCCUGUUUCUUUCGUUAUUGUUAUCCCUUUAUGUUACUCACUGUACACUCUCUCUCCAUGUGAAUGUUGAAUAUUAACUAUCAAAUUACAAUCUGGAACUCCUUCUUUGGUAAGGAAUGUAAUUGUUCUCCCCACCCCUAAUGAGGAGUUGGUCAUUUCACAGCUCCUCUUUCCUUCCCUUCCUCCUGAAGAGCAACAGGGAGACAAUGCAUGAGAAGGAAGAAAAGUUCCCACCCCACACUCAUCCUAUAUCAAAGAGACAUAGGUGGCUCACAGCUCAGUCUCUGUAUCCUAUGCAACCUAAUUCUCCAAUAUAGAGAAGUGGAUAAACUUUUAUUUUUAUCAUAGAAAACAAGAUGGUGUCCUAAGCAAGUUCACUGCGAACCAGAAGGGUGGAAGGCUCUGCUCUUUUGCUGUCAACCCAAAAAAGAGGAAACAAACAAACAAGAAAGGCACAUCUGUGCUAGCCCUGCCAGCUUAGGUCAACAGAACCUUUAGCCAUUUUUAACCCAAAUGCUGCUGAAGACACACUGAGGAGAUAAAACACAUGUCAAGUCCAAAGUUCCCUAACAACACCUUUUGCUUGCAGCUCUGUAUCAUGUUGUACAGAGGUUUUCCUACUUUAAAUCUAUACUCUGUAAGAACUUGCCCUGAACAGAGAUCAUGUACCCUGCCUGUGGCAAGGAAGUUGGGACUUGAUGAUCCUUGAGGUCCCUUCCAACCCAAGCUAUUCUACGAUUCCAUGAUAGCAACAGUACUGCUGUGUUGUACUUCACAUGAACAGACCCACAGUAAGAAAAUCACAGAAGGCACUGAGGCCCACCAGAAAAUCUAACCAUCAGAUCAGCAGAUGGAGUCUUCCUUAGAACAUGGAGCAUCAGAAAGCCCCCAGAAGCUGUUCUUAUUUGCAACUGCAGCAAACAACCUAAGCUAUUUGAGAUGGAAGCCUAGCUCCCAUUAAAAAGGACUUAGACAUCUAUGAGCUGAUUUGAAUACUUGACACUGGCCACCUGGAGUACCGUGGUGUCCUCUGUGAAACAAUAGAGUUCUGUUGAGAGAGAAGAAAUCAACCAACCAACAACAAAAACAAACCCCACAAAACUAAAAGGGGGGGAUGAAAGAAUAUGAAAGCAAGAAGAUUAAGUACAAGAUGGCAGCAAAUCUGUCACUACGGUUUUUUUUUUUUUGAUACAGAUUAAAUCUUUCUGAUGCUCCUGAAAAUGAACUGAGCUCAGUCAACUCCAAAGAGAUUAGUUACACUAGUCUCAUUUCUAUUAGUGGCUUUUAAAAUGACUCUCUCUCUCUCCCCUUCCAGAGACAUUUCAUGCCAAAAUACCAACCUUCAGCAUCUCUGCAGGCUGUCCUGAAGAGGUUCACCAUUCUGUGUAGGAACAUACAAUAAAAUAAAGGGAAAAUAAAGGAGUUUUUUUUCUCGUGAGAUGCAUUACUUUCAGUGUAAUUUCUAUCUUUCUAGCUAAGGUUGAGAUUCCAAGAAUAAACGUUUGCCACAGCAACAUAGACAUAUUCUGUUUGCAAUUCCUUUUAACAGAUCUCAUUUUCAUCAUUUAAGACUUGCAGAAAGAGACUGCACUGACAGCAAGUCACUGCUUCCCUCCAUGAGAGCUGCCAAAAUGUGCAGAACUGAGCCCUGUCCUCUCGCUCCCUGGCCUUAUGAGAACACAUUUAGAGGCAUGCACAGCCUGGUUCACACUUACAUGAUGCACAGAGAAUGAGGCAGAAGGCUUGCAUAGUGAAGCAACACCUCAUUCCCGAGCAUGUGCAGAGCAGUCCACCUUCGCUUACUGCUAAAAUCACUAAAGCAGUACCAUUUGCACUGCAUAUGUGCAACAUGCAUGUCUCCAAGAUUCAUUACUGUGCAUAUGAAAAUUCAAUCAUAUCAAAGCUUAGCUUUAAGAAAGUCCCAAGGGGCUGAACCAUGUGCUUAUGUACUUUGAGGGGGGAAAAAACAACCCUUACUUUUUUUUACUUUUUUUUUUCUUUUUUUUUUGGUAGCAUUGCCCCUGUCUUUUUUUUUUUUUAAGAACAAAAUAGCUGCUGAAUGAGUGAACUCCACAUUCCUGCUGUGUGUUUAUAUCCAUCCAUUCCAUAAAUCAAGUUCUGUUUCUGUACAAACACAAGUAUAUAAAUCAUAGAUGGGUUUAGAGUCAAUCUUGAGAAAAAUAGCUUUAAUGAAUAAAACUAAUUAUUUUAUUUGAAAACUGCUGUGCUUUCGUCAUUUGGCACGACAAUGUGUAUAUUUGCAUGCUCUCUUUCUCUCUACUUUUUGUGGCUCUUUUGAAAGCAGACUAUUCUGCAAUUUGGAAAUCCCACACAUUCACCUAUUUUCAUUACAGCUUGAAAAUUGCUUUUUUCAUCAUGUUUUUUUUUAUGAAAGUGGAUCUGUAAUUCAAUCAAAAAGGGAAUCAUUGUACUGAAGGAAAGUGAUGGUUUGGGUUUGCACAUCUUACACCUCAUUAAAAGAGAACAGAUGAAUGUGUACGUUCUUUAAAAUACUUUUUCAAGCAAAGUUCAUUUAAAAAAAUAUACAAAAUGAAUCUGCUCUUCCUGGCUUUUGUAUAGGCCAUUCACAUCCAUGGAUGUGAAUCUCGUAGAAACUGGUUUCAACUUAGAGAUACCAGAAACGCAAUGUAAGUCAUAGUUGAAAGACAGGAUUUUCAAAGUGUCACCCUCAGUUAUCUAAAGGACAAUCAAAAUGCACAUGGAGCUUUACUAGUGGAGCCAAAGCAGGGAGGCAGUCCCUGCUUUUCUUCCUCAUUCCAAAACAUCACACAAACCUUGGCCUCUUGGACCUGUUACCAACAUCUGGUGGCUGCCAUGCAGACCCUGUUGGCAUCAUGCACUGACAGGCCAAGGGGAAGCAUGCUGCUGGCUGCAACUUCCAGCCCAGGUGGGAAGGAAAGGUCUCUGCUUUGAAGGUGUUCCACAAAUCAAAAUUUUUACGUGUAUAAUAAAAGGGUUUUUUGGAUAUAGUCUAACAAGAACUACAGAGCUGAAGAGGAGCGCCAUGCAAACAAACAGAAGCAGGAACUUCAUGGGACUCCUUCGUGGAGUUAAAUUUCUCCAAAAUAGCAUUUCCAGAGUGAGGCACUUGUAAGUACAACUGUGGAAGGAUAAGACUCGGCUGACAAGCCAUGAGAUACAAAGUGUUUGCAAGACACAGCCAGUGUUGAGAUAAUUAAAGACAAAAUUAAGCUUGUGCUAUACUGGCAUCUGCAAAGCAUCAGUUAAUCAAACAUAGUGUGUUAAUCAGAGUCAUUUUUCUGAGGGAAAAAUGUAAUCGAGCUUCAUCAUUUUUUGUGUUGUCCUCAGGCUCUGGCAGACCUUCCAGACAGAAACUAAAUUUUCCUAAGUAUUUGCACACUAGGCAGUGCAUCAGAACCCGAGACAUUUUCUAGGCACUACUGCAACAUUAAUAGGAAGUAGUGCUAGAAAAGCCACUUUGUAGGAGCUUUUGCUCUGUAUUAAGAAGUCAAAUAAUAAUAACAAAUUAAAGUGGGCACCAAAGCAUAACCUGGCAAGGAGCUAAUACUCCACAUCCCAUUUUUGCAAUCAAGAGACAAGCCAUUCAACUACUUAGCAAGACUGCUGCCAGUAAGCCAGUGUCUCCCAGAUUCCACACAGAAGAGCAAAGACUACAUUCUCUAGUGACCUCUGCAGAUUUAGCAAUCCUGUGCUUUUUUGGUUUGGGGUUUUUUCCUGGUAUUUUUUCUUUUCUUUUCUUUUUUUUUUUUUUUCAUUUUUGGACUGUUGCUGGAUGUAACUUCUAGGUAUUGUAAUCAAUUUAUUUUUAAUUCAAUGGAGAAAUAAUUCAUACUGUCUUGGUUGCUAGCUAUUCAAGAUAUUGUGGUUGCAUUUUUGGUGUCUUUGGUACAUUCUAUUGUAACAUUCUCAGGGCACUGAAGUCAAUUACUAAAUUUCACGCUGUUUUACUUGCUACAAAGCACCAUCCAAGCAUUUUCUAGCAAGUCCUUGUGGGUAACUACAUCCUGUGUAAGAAGUGCAUGCAUGUCUGUGUGCUGAUAGAGAUGAGGUCAGUGUCAGUGUAGCCAUUUUGAUUAAUGUCUUUUUGCUUUAGUUUCUAUGGGCUUAAGCCUCUUAGCACAACAGUAAAAAAAAAUAAUAAUAAUCAAAUAAAUUAAGCCAAACACAUUUGAAACACAAAGACUUUGCUGGUAUCUGCCCAUCAUGCCACUGUAGUGUUAUAACUCAUCCCAGCUUUUCUCUCUUUUUUCUCUGUUCCAAACCUCAUCCUCUCUCACCCACCCUGCAGACAUACCCGUCUCCUUUCCUAGCUGUCCCACUUCUUCCCUCACUGCUACUGCCGCUGCUCCCGCUGUGCAUGUGGGGAAGUGUGAGGGCCUGUCCUGGUAGGAGGCACAAACCCUCCUGUGGGAAAACAAGCUAUGUAGUGGUGGGGGAAAUGGGAGACGUGACCUGUUGGGGGGGAGAAAUGAAAGAAUGGCCUUCAGCUAGGGCUUGGGAAGGGUAGAGGGUCAUGGAACCUACAGGAUGAAGAAGGGACGUGUGGCUGGAAAUUGAGUUCGAUAGCUCUCAGCCUACCACAUCAUUGCGCUGGAGGAGGAAACCCCAGUGCCAAUGUAGGGAGGAGAAGAGAGGUAAUACAACCCAGAGGGAAGAAAUCUGAAAUGUGGUGAACUGAAAUUGGCACAGUGCCACCAUAAAGAAAUCUAUGAACAGUUAUGACUUGCAAUCCCAAUUAUGAUAUAUGGGCAUUUCCCUUUCAGGUUGUGUUACUGUAGCAGAAUGAUGACACAUCAGAGCUUUCCCUACUAAUGCAGUGGAAGCCGUAUCUAACAUGCAGAAAAAUUAACACCGCCAAUCUGGCCUCUUUCAUUUAUGGCUCUAUUCACUGCAUUUUAUUUAUUGAGAGAGAUGAUGUAUCCAAUAUAUCCAUGACAACUUUCUAGAAGUGGCUAGCCACCAAAAUGUUGGCUGCUCCCAAAAGUCAUUCCUCUAAAUCAAGCUAUGAAAGGAAACUGGUGGCAGACAGCAUGAAGAACUGAGCCCUCUGAAAAGUAACAAUCUCACAUGCACUGUACACUCCUAUUUCUGAGUGCAAUUUUCUCUUGUGCAAAUGCUGUAGACACCUUGUGAUUUUCUGUGAAAAUGGGAAAACAUUAACAGCCUGCAGAAAGGGGAAAACGGGAGUGAAAAUGAAGAACAAUGAAGGCAGUGAAAUCUCACCAAUUUAGCACAUCAGUACUCCUCAUUCUCUACUGAUCCAAGGCAGUAAAGAGAAUAAGAACGGAAAAUAAAUAAUAUUCCUCAGAAAGACAUAAAAAGACAAGUCAUAGUAAGAUCCACAUUUGCCCUGUCACUCUCUCCAGCAAGACAAAUCAGCUUAUUUUGUUCACACAAGUAAUUUCUUUAAUUUGAACUGGAACUUUGCCUGACAACGACGCACAGGAUCUUCCUUCUCUGGGUAGAUGUAACCACCAGCUGAAAUACAUCAACACUCCAGAUAAGCCAUGAACUAUUGUAUCCCUUGAUUUAUAGCUGAUUAAAGACUCCCAAAUUGCUCCUAGUCCUGAGAAUUAAUGUAUUAAAGAAACCCUCUGCAAGCAUGUUGGUCUACCAAGCUACAUAAGCAAAUAGGUUGCUGACUGCUGGUCCUCCCAGCAGUUUUGGUGGCAGACCUCUGAUUUCCACUGCAGGUAUCAGCAGAGAGCUUACUGCACACCUCAGAGCUGUCACAGCAGCCCUUGCAAAAUCUAUUAAUUUAAGAUUCAUAACCCUAAUCCUUAAUAAAAUUAUUUCCUAGUUGUACAAAUUACUCACUUCACAUUACCAAGAUAUGAAAGGUACUUCCAUUUUCAACGGACUAUAAAUUCCGCUAAUGCAAAGGAUUGUUUUAGAAAGAAAGGCAUACGCAUCUCUAUCCUUUUGGCAAACGGUGCGCAAAAUUUCAAUGCAAAGUCCCAUAACCUAAACAAAUCAAUAACUAAUCUAAUAAAAGAGUAAUUUACAGAAAUUAUUACAAUGUCAUGUCUUAGUUGGUUGAAACCAUGCAUCACACUACUGUAAAGAAUGCAGCGACUUACCAACCCAGCAACUAGAAGCAACACCAACAAUAAAGUCUUGUAGCAAGAGUAAUUUCUUUUUUCCUUCUACAGCAAAUCUAUGUUGAUUGUUUUGCUUCAGGGUGGAGGGUCAGAAAUAAUACCUCUGAUUACUGCUAGUAAAUCUGAGUCAUUUUCAUGGUGUACAGCAGUAUGAGACCACACGGCACCUGAGGACAGUCCCAGGUAGAGAGAGAGGAAUCAGGAUCAACAGCCUUGACAGGAGGUGAGGCUUCACUUCCUGGGAAGCCGCAGCCACUGAUCCUCAGGGGGUUGCUUGAGGAAGAAGAGCACAGAGAAGCUUCCUCAGGUAAUCUCAGCAAGUGCUACGCACAGGACGUCUCAGCGUGUGUGCUACCUCUUCCAGGAUUACAGACACUUACAAUGCUUUCUCUGGCUUGAAGUAUACCCUGAGAAUUUGUGCCAGAAACUAGAAAACAGCAAA
Long non-coding RNA from Gallus gallus (chicken), 16206 nucleotides. RefSeq lists it as uncharacterized. The record is from RefSeq and is a predicted model, not a curated record. The transcript has 12 exons. Lineage: Eukaryota; Metazoa; Chordata; Aves; Galliformes; Phasianidae.